CUCAACGCCAGCCAAGAUACAAAAUCUGUUCCAAACCGCGCAGUUAACCUCCAAGCAGUGUCCCAGAAGAAAGCAAUACUUGCGAGUCUUCGCUUAGGCGCAGAGGUGGGAGGCGCGGGAAAGAGGGUGGCAAUGUGCCAAUCCAAAAAUGUCAAUUCCAGCUCCUGUUGUACCCGUGAAUGGCCAUUUCACACUGUUAUGGCCAAUGCAAUACAAGCAAAAGUCAGUGGCUAGAACUUCUGGGACAUCUCCUGAAAAGGAGCAUGGACUUAGAGACACAGUCUCACAAAAUGGAUCAAGGACCUAGGAAUUAAACCAGAGACUCUGUGUCU
Long non-coding RNA from Ictidomys tridecemlineatus (thirteen-lined ground squirrel), 332 nucleotides. RefSeq lists it as uncharacterized. The record is from RefSeq and is a predicted model, not a curated record. NCBI's taxonomy places the organism in Eukaryota, Metazoa, Chordata, Mammalia, Rodentia, Sciuridae.